AGAGGUCUGCAAAACCUUUACCACCGGUUCGAAUCCGGUUGCCGCCU
This 47-nucleotide transfer RNA is filed under the name Neobacillus vireti LMG 21834. Its description in RNAcentral is "Bacillus vireti LMG 21834 tRNA". It matches the Rfam family "tRNA", at positions 25 to 71 of the family's 71-position model. Rfam says of the family: Transfer RNA (tRNA) molecules are approximately 80 nucleotides in length. The record is from Rfam by way of RNAcentral. Lineage: Bacteria; Bacillati; Bacillota; Bacilli; Caryophanales; Bacillaceae.